UUCAUCUAAAAACAUAAAAUCAACAAUCAAAAACAAUAAAAAAAAAGACUGUCAAAUAAAAGUGGAGAAGGCUUGUCUAAAGAGGAAAGUUUUCAAACCAGUUUUAAAAUCGGACAAUGAUUGCGGGGCUCUCAAAUAGUCCGGGAGAGAGUUCCAUAAAUGCUAAGUCUG
Molecule: long non-coding RNA, 171 nt
Organism: Poecilia latipinna (sailfin molly)
Lineage: Eukaryota; Metazoa; Chordata; Actinopteri; Cyprinodontiformes; Poeciliidae
Exons: 3
Source: RefSeq, a predicted model, not a curated record